RNAcentral lists this transfer RNA (83 nucleotides) under Chloroflexota bacterium. RNAcentral describes it as "Chloroflexi bacterium tRNA-Leu". It matches the Rfam family "tRNA". From Rfam's summary of the family: Transfer RNA (tRNA) molecules are approximately 80 nucleotides in length. Their secondary structure includes four short double-helical elements and three loops (D, anti-codon, and T loops). Further hydrogen bonds mediate the characteristic L-shaped molecular structure. tRNAs have two regions of fundamental functional importance: the anti-codon, which is responsible for specific mRNA codon recognition, and the 3' end, to which the tRNAs corresponding amino acid is attached (by aminoacyl-tRNA synthetases). tRNAs cope with the degeneracy of the genetic code in two manners: having more than one tRNA (with a specific anti-codon) for a particular amino acid; and 'wobble' base-pairing, i.e. permitting non-standard base-pairing at the 3rd anti-codon position. Lineage: Bacteria; Bacillati; Chloroflexota. The record is from RNAcentral.
GGGGGAGUGGCGGAAUGGUAGACGCGCAUGCCUUAGGAGCAUGUGGCUGCGGCCGUGCGAGUUCGAAUCCCGCCUCACCACCA